GUGCUCACUUCAGCAGCACAUAUACUAAAAGUGGAACUCUACAGAGAAGAUUAGCAUAGCCCCUUCACCAGGAUGGCACACCAAUUUGUGAAGAGUUCUUUUUCUUU
Nomascus leucogenys (northern white-cheeked gibbon) is the source of this 107-nucleotide small nuclear RNA. The record is from Ensembl. NCBI's taxonomy places the organism in Eukaryota, Metazoa, Chordata, Mammalia, Primates, Hylobatidae.